ACUCGCUGUGGCAGUAGGGGAAGGGGCCUUCCAGGGCUGUGGGCAGCUGCCCAGGGUCCACAUGGUGGCUGAGAGCUCUCAGUGAGGUCACCACCUCUACCUGCAGAUGAAAGAAGACAGUCAAGAUGACCAGGGGACUCAGCGUGGGCACACCUGUUUGAGAAGGGCCUGCCAGAUCCCUGCCCCAACACCACUCCAUCUGCCACAGUGACCCACCAAGGUGCCGUCUCCUUCUUGGGGCUGAGAAAGGUCACCAAAUCCUGACCGUACCCUCUAAGACACGGAGGAGGGACGAGGUGGCUGCUUCUCCCGGACGGUGAAGUUGGAGGUUUAUGCUAGGAACAGCUCCAGAUACCUAAGCUUGGGAUUGGGCGGAUUCUGUUUGUUUGGGCCCAUCUGUUAUCCUCGGUACUCAAAGUGUGGUCCACGGACCAGCAGCAUCAACAUCACCUAGGAGCAUGUUAGAGAUGCAGAAUCCCAGGCCCCAUCCAGGGCUACUCCAUUAGAACCUGCGCUUUGACAAGGUCCCCAAGGGAUUCACUGGCACAUAAACCCUUAAAAAGCACAUCUCUAGGGGCGCCUGGGUGGCUCAGUCGGUUAAGCAUCCAACUUUGCCUCAGGUCAUGAUCUCAGAGUCCGUGAAUUCUAGCCCUGCAUCGGGCUCUGUGCUGACAGCCCGGAGCCUGGAGCCUGUUUCAGAUUCUGUGUCUCCCUCUCUCUCUGCCCCUCCCCCGUUCAUGCUCUGUCUCAAAAAUAAAUCAACAUUAAAUUUUUUUUU
Long non-coding RNA from Acinonyx jubatus (cheetah), 778 nucleotides. RefSeq lists it as uncharacterized. NCBI's taxonomy places the organism in Eukaryota, Metazoa, Chordata, Mammalia, Carnivora, Felidae. The record is from RefSeq and is a predicted model, not a curated record. The transcript is spliced from 2 exons.